Molecule: antisense RNA, 75 nt
Filed under: Streptomyces pluripotens
Lineage: Bacteria; Bacillati; Actinomycetota; Actinomycetes; Kitasatosporales; Streptomycetaceae
Description: ASpks TB sRNA
Rfam family: ASpks TB sRNA
Source: Rfam by way of RNAcentral
CUUCACGGAACCCAGCCACAGCGGGUUGUCGUCCGCCCGGGCCUGGCCGUACGCGGACAUGAGCGCCCGCGCCUC